RNAcentral lists this ribosomal RNA (492 nucleotides) under uncultured bacterium. Its description in RNAcentral is "partial 16S ribosomal RNA". It matches the Rfam family "Bacterial small subunit ribosomal RNA", at positions 29 to 507 of the family's 1533-position model. The record is from RNAcentral.
AGUGAACGCUGGCGGUAGGCCUAACACAUGCAAGUCGAACGGCAGCACAGUAAGAGCUUGCUCUUACGGGUGGCGAGUGGCGGACGGGUGAGGAAUACAUCGGAAUCUACUUUUUCGUGGGGGAUAACGUAGGGAAACUUACGCUAAUACCGCAUACGACCUACGGGUGAAAGCAGGGGAUCUUCGGACCUUGCGCGAUUGAAUGAGCCGAUGUCGGAUUAGCUAGUUGGCGGGGUAAAGGCCCACCAAGGCGACGAUCCGUAGCUGGUCUGAGAGGAUGAUCAGCCACACUGGAACUGAGACGCGGUCCAGACUCCUACGGGGGGCAGCAGUGGGGAAUAUUGGACAAUGGGCGCAAGCCUGAUCCAGCCAUACCGCGUGGGUGAAGAAGGCCUUCGGGUUGUAAAGCCCUUUUGUUGGGAAAGAAAAGCAGCAGGUUAAUACCCCGCUGUUCUGACGGUACCCAAAGAAUAAGCACCGGCUAACUUCGUG